This 267-nucleotide long non-coding RNA is filed under the name Nicotiana benthamiana. Its description in RNAcentral is "long non-coding RNA (NBEN_LNC024131)". The record is from RNAcentral. Lineage: Eukaryota; Viridiplantae; Streptophyta; Magnoliopsida; Solanales; Solanaceae.
AAGUUGUUAGAGAUUUUGUCUUUGAGGAAGAACAUGUGUCUUUCUCUCAAGUUGUUGAUCUUGGUCAGGGUGUUCUCAUUCCUGACACGGAUAUUCAAUACAAUCUCGAAAAUCUCCCUAAUCAAGUUCCUGAUAUUACUAAUGAAAAUCAAACACAACAACCUCAAGAAACUAAAGUGCCAUUAAGGAGAUCCACUAGAGAGAGGAGAAAUGCAAUUCCGGAUGAUUAUGUUGUAUUUCUCCAAGAACAAGAAAGUGAUAUUGNNN